Molecule: unclassified non-coding RNA, 255 nt
Filed under: Hevea brasiliensis (rubber tree)
Lineage: Eukaryota; Viridiplantae; Streptophyta; Magnoliopsida; Malpighiales; Euphorbiaceae
Source: RNAcentral
UUGUCGUUUGAAAUCCCAUUUUGCUCAUCACACAAAUUGGUACUCUCCUCAUCAUUGCUUUUCGCUGUCAAAAUAUCAAUAGCAGCAUUGAUAUUGUCCUUGUAAUUGGAAGGUGAAUCGAGCGCAAGAGAGCCUAAUGUGGUGGAGGUGAGCGCCACCACAUGAUAGCCAUCGCCUCUUUUCUGCGACGGAUGAACCACAUGCAUUGAGUAGCUCCGAGGCAUCGGAGAAUAGGGUGCGUGGCAGUGCCGGCAG